CCCCCCCCCCCCCGGCCCCAUAUCAACCUCAUCUUUUCAUAUUCAUACCCCAAAUCCUCAAACUCCCUCGCGAAUCUAGCAAAAAUUGAAAUCCUAGCCACCCUCAUUCCCUCAAAAUUUCUCGAGUUUUAGCCGUCCCCACACUAUAACACUUACAUAAAUGGAUAGAUCUCAAAAAUAUAUAUUCAUUCCUACCAAUUUCACCCCUAAAAGCUCCACCAUUGUCGAGCAGUCGCCGCCUCUGCCACCAUUAUUGUUGCUCCUAAAACCACAUUAGCCCUCUAUUUUAAAAUAUAUUCGACCUAAGGACACUCGUUUCCUUUUGGUAUGACGCUCAAUUCAUUAAAUUUAGUGUCUACCAAAAUGAAACGAGCGUUCCAAGGUCGGAAAGUUAUUGUUCGAGGUCCUCGACCCCUCUUCGCUGCCCAAUAUAGCCUUGAAUCCCCUGUUGUAGUUCCCCUUCUAUUUUUCUGAAUUUUUGCUUUUGUAAUUGGGUUUAGGUUUAGUUUAAUUGUAUACUCUUUCCGUUUUAAUUUAUGUGAACUCGUUUGAUUGAGCAUCAAAUUUAAGAAAAGAGACAAGAUUUUUGAACUUGUGGCACAUAUAUUUUGUGCGGCUAUAAAUUAUUGCAUAAAGAAAAAUU
This 643-nucleotide long non-coding RNA is filed under the name Nicotiana benthamiana. RNAcentral describes it as "long non-coding RNA (NBEN_LNC020249)". The record is from RNAcentral. Lineage: Eukaryota; Viridiplantae; Streptophyta; Magnoliopsida; Solanales; Solanaceae.